GGGUUGGGGGCUGGGUUGGGGAGACGGCUGCCGACUGGCUGUUCGCAUCCACUUGAACUUUGCGUGGCAGCCCCGCAGUGCUAAGUGGCUCCUCUAAUGGUGAGACUCAGUUGAACCCCGACAGACGCUCCCCUGCUCACUCUGUGCUUCGCCGAGCUUCCCCCGCCAAAGCAAACUCACGACGACAAAGAGGCGCUUGAGUUUGGAAAGGCGGAGCCAAUUCUCCUCAAGUGAAGCAAGUUCGGUUGUUUCGAUCGUUUGCGUUAGUUGUUUGUCUGAACUUUCUUGUGAGUAUUAGUCGGUGGAUUUAUUACAACAAAAGAAGCCCCUGCAAACACAGACAAACCAACUGUCUCCAUAACAAGUCAUAAUCAUACCUUCCGAAAGCAGAGCAGAAUUUACUGCCAAGUGGACCAUAAAUUGCACAAGUAGCGUCUUGUUCUACGAGCGUUCCGACAGCAGCUAAACACACUCCCCGGAUGCAGAGGCGAUAUCAAACGGUAAUUACCUCAGCGAGAAAGGGCAAGUCUGCAGAGAAAGCGUUUUAAGGACGCCAGCAGUGCAGAUGGCCCGUGCGCGGCUGAGAUUCGAACACUCAUUCCCAGGAUGGUUGGUCCGUCCGAGUGGGCCUCUCGCAAGACCUUUUGGCCAACAGCUGCACCCAGCUAACGUUUUUGAGCAGUGGGCUGGACGCCACGGGAUGUGCUGAGCGACUAACAUGCAGCGAAGGAGGCGAACGUGCUCAAGACGGACAGGAGGAACAAAGGUUUAGGGCCACACUGAUGAAACAAAAUUCAAAUCAUUACAAUUAAAAAACGUUAUAAAAAUAAUCUAUUAUACAUAAUUUGGUUUAAUAGGACAAUGUAAGGGUGAUUGGCUUUUGUGAGUCGUCGCUUUAUUAAAACAAAGCAUCAUCACCGAGUCUUGCACAUCAGCUUAUUAAAACAAAGUACGGUCGGUCGAUUUUAUUUUUCAGCCAUCUCUGCUCGUCCGUUUAUUAAAACAAAUGUAAAAGCAAAGUUUGGCUUUUUGUCUUGAAUGUCUUUCAAGUCUGCGCUUUAUUAAAAACAAAGCGAGGGCUUUUGGGCUUUGCUAGCUUUGCCCGAAAGUUUGCAUUUUC
Long non-coding RNA from Syngnathoides biaculeatus (alligator pipefish), 1120 nucleotides. RefSeq lists it as uncharacterized. The record is from RefSeq and is a predicted model, not a curated record. Lineage: Eukaryota; Metazoa; Chordata; Actinopteri; Syngnathiformes; Syngnathidae. The transcript has 2 exons.